UCUCUAGGGUUCAUAUAGGUUUUUUAGCAUAAUGAAAGUUUCUUUCCUAACAUUUUGCUCAAUGAUUGUAGCAGGUAAAUCAUAUGAAGUGGUCAGUUGUAGAGCACUGGACCCAGAUGCGACGGUCUUUCUAUCUUCUGAGUCCGGGACAAAAAUUGGUAACUCCUACUCGGCAUUUUCUUUCAUAAUACAAAGUUCCUUUGCAUAUUGCUAUACUUAUAUCUGCUUAUUUACUCAUAUAAUCUCACAACACUCGGAAUGUGUAAUGUCUCUUUGGAUAUGGCAUCUCUAUAUGUUCUUUUGUGAUGUUGUUCAAGUACAAAGCUAUUCUAUUGACCGAUGAGGCUUCAUGCUUCAUAAUCUUAUUUUUCUCUGUUACGGCGUGGAAUUAAUUUCUGAGUAGGGCGGACCAUUAU
Molecule: long non-coding RNA, 416 nt
Filed under: Nicotiana benthamiana
Lineage: Eukaryota; Viridiplantae; Streptophyta; Magnoliopsida; Solanales; Solanaceae
Description: long non-coding RNA (NBEN_LNC040725)
Source: RNAcentral